AACUUUCAACAACGUGUCACUUGGCUCUCGCGUCGAUUAAGAACGCAGCGAAAUGCGAUAAGUAAUGUGAAUUGCAGAAUUCAGUGAAUCAUCGAAUCUUUGAACGCACCUUGCGCUCUUUGGUAUUCCGAAGAGCAUGCCUGUUUGAGUGUCAUGAAAAUAUCAACCUUUACUUGGGUUUAGUGCUCUUGUCUUGGCUUGGAUUUGGCUGUUUUCCGCUCGAAAGAGUCGGCUCAGCUUAAAAGUAUUAGCUGGAUCUUUCUUUGAGAUUUGGUUUGACUUGGCGUAAUAAGUUAUUUCGCUGAGGACAAUCUUCGGAUUGGCCGAUUUUCUGGGACGUUUGUCCGCUUUCUAAUACAAGUUCUAGCUUGCUAGACAUGACUUUUUUAUUAUCUGGCCUCAAAUCAGGUAGGACUACCCGCUGAACUUAAGCAUAUCAAUAAGCGGAGGCU
This 452-nucleotide unclassified non-coding RNA is filed under the name uncultured Cryptococcus. Its description in RNAcentral is "sequence contains ITS2". The stretch from base 1 to 154 matches the Rfam family "5.8S ribosomal RNA". Lineage: Eukaryota; Fungi; Basidiomycota; Tremellomycetes. The record is from RNAcentral.